AAGUCGUAACAAGGUAACCGUAGGUGAACCUGCGGUUGGAUCAUUAUAAAAUAAUGAUGGCUUCCUUAGUGAGUGUUGGACCUUUCGGACUGACCUCUACCUAGGAAGUCUCUAUACCUCUGUGCACUGUAAUAGUAUCGGGUCGAGGUAACGCAGCUUCGGCCCACAAACGGUCUCGACCGUAUAAACAACUUUUAAUUUUGACUGACUUUUGUUUCUAACGAAUCAAAAACAACUUUUAACAACGGAUCUCUUGGCUCAC
Molecule: unclassified non-coding RNA, 262 nt
Filed under: fungal sp.
Lineage: Eukaryota; Fungi
Description: partial internal transcribed spacer region
Rfam family: Eukaryotic small subunit ribosomal RNA (bases 1-46)
Source: RNAcentral